GAUGAAGAACGCAGCGAAAUGCGAUAAGUAGUGUGAAUUGCAGAAUUCAGUGAAUCAUCGAAUCUUUGAACGCACAUUGCGCCCGCCAGUAUUCUGGCGGGCAUGCCUGUUCGAGCGUCAUUUCAACCCUCAAGCACAGCUUGGUGUUGGGACUCGCGUUAAUUCGCGUUCCUCAAAUUGGUUGGCGGUCACGUCGAGCUUCCAUAGCGUAGUAGUAAAACCCUCGUUACUGGUAAUCGUCGCGGCCACGCCGUUAAACCCCAACUGCUGAAUGUUGACCUCGGAUCAGGUAGGAAUACCCGCUGAACUUAAGCAUAUCAAUAAGCGGAGGA
RNAcentral lists this unclassified non-coding RNA (332 nucleotides) under soil metagenome. RNAcentral describes it as "partial contains 5.8S ribosomal RNA, internal transcribed spacer 2, and large subunit ribosomal RNA". The stretch from base 1 to 120 matches the Rfam family "5.8S ribosomal RNA", at positions 35 to 154 of the family's 154-position model. The record is from RNAcentral.